AGAGUUUGAUCAUGGCUCAGAGUGAACGCUGGCGGCAGGCCUAAUACAUGCAAGUCGAACGGCAGCACAGCAGAGCUUGCUCUGUGGGUGGCGAGUGGCGGACGGGUGAGGAAUACGUGGGAAUCUGCCCAGUCGUGGGGAUAACGUGGGGAAACUUACGCUAAUACCGCAUGCGCCCUUCGGGGGAAAGCCGGGGACCUUCGGGCCUGGCGCGAUUGGAUGAGCCCACGUCGGAUUAGCUAGUUGGCGGGUAAAGGCCCACCAAGGCGACGAUCCGUAGCUGGUCUGAGAGGAUGAUCAGCCACACUGGAACUGAGACACGGUCCAGACUCGUACGGGAGGCAGCAGUAGGGAAUAUUGGACAAUGGGCGCAAGCCUGAUCCAGCCAUGCCGCGUGAGUGAAGAAGGCCCUCGGGUUGUAAAGCUCUUUUGUCCGGAAAGAAAAGCGCCGGGUUAAUACCCUGGUGUCCUGACGGUACCGGAAGAAUAAGCACCGGCUAACUUCGUG
RNAcentral lists this ribosomal RNA (508 nucleotides) under uncultured bacterium. RNAcentral describes it as "bacterial SSU rRNA". It matches the Rfam family "Bacterial small subunit ribosomal RNA", at positions 8 to 507 of the family's 1533-position model. The record is from RNAcentral.